RNAcentral lists this ribosomal RNA (1605 nucleotides) under Triticum aestivum (bread wheat). RNAcentral describes it as "partial small subunit ribosomal RNA". Lineage: Eukaryota; Viridiplantae; Streptophyta; Magnoliopsida; Poales; Poaceae. The record is from RNAcentral.
GCAGUUCAACGAGCCGGACCGAGUUCGGGUUCAAUCGGUCGAGAGCGAAGUAGCGGUUGUGCAAGCCGGGUCGCAGGGUAACGGAUCGCGCCAGCGAGGUGCCGUGACCUCGUCCCGCCGCGGGGUCGUCGUCGCCGCCGCGCGCGGCGCGAGCGGCCGGGCCCGGAAGAGGGGCGCAGCGGGCGGAGACCAGCCGUCGCGGAGCGGGCGUCGGAGGAGACGAGCCAAGGAGGGUCGGCCGCGGCUUAAGGGACAAGAUCCACCGUCUUAGAGAAGCGAUGUCGAAAUCCCUACAGCAGGAGAAGGUGUCAUCUCCCGUUCCUACCGCUCAAGUGACUCCAGCACCACCACGCCGUACCGCUCUGAAGGACCUUGCGGAGCGCGUAGUAUGUCCCCGUGAACCUACGUCUCGACUUACUCUAACCCUCCGUCGUUCGACAACGCCAACGAGUAGCCGACAGAUUUCUUCGGUUUGGUCGACGGUAUAUGAGCAGUCUAAACUUCGCCCGGCGUCUCUGACGUUCUUGUUAUCGUUUUAAGACGUUAAAUGGUUUACAACACAAACUAGGACGUGAAUCUCUUUCUGUGUAUCCUCUACACGUCCCGGACUGCGAAGUUCUACGACAGUUUCUUUUCGGUCUUCGAAUGUUUCGAAAAUACAGAGUGUUCUCUUUGGUCGUUUAAGGACCACCACCCCUCUCAGAACUAGUUGAUAGGCUCGCUACACAGAGGACGGACAUAUUUUAUCAGCUCUUUGUAUCUCCCCUCGCACAAUAGGACCAGAGAGUACCGCCUUGGUAGUCUCUCGAGAUGUCCGUGCGGUCAGGGCACGGCGAGGCGCCAUUUUAUGUGUUGUGCAGCCAAUGACAGCACGAGCAAAGACCACUGUGACCGGCGACGUAACAGUUCUACACACCCCUACAAUCGGUGGAACUCCGGUGGCCACAAGACCUCUUACGGAAACCGCCGCUGUUCAGAAGUCGGAUUCUCGUGGGAGGGACGUCGUCAAGAAUGCACAUCUCCUAUGUCUAUGUCAUGUUUAAAAGAGCAGUACAAAAACGACACUGUGUGUAUGCUUACGCUAUAUACCUCGCCUACGAUGAACUUAUGCCUAUGCUUAGUCUACAAUGAGUCAAGCCUCGUAUAUACCUAGAAUUUUAAAUCACAUACAUAAUAAUCCACGUUUUAAUUCAAUCGUUGACACACUGUGUUUUAAUAGAUGAGCAUUGUAUACUAUUCAGUUACUAUUUAUUAUAGGGAGACAGGCCUUUAUGAAGAGUAGUUUUACUUAUUUUCCCUUACAUAGAUCUGUAUAAAAUCAAAAUCUAUGUAGGAAAAAACAGGUAAAACUACUGUUCAUAAAAGCCUGCCUCUCUCAUCUACUUAUUUAUGAUAAGGGAGGUAAAGUUUUAUUCACAGAAUUGAAUGAAUAAAACCCUUAUGAGGGAGACAGUCCUUUAUUAAGAGCGAGUUUGUCUAAAUUUGGACUCCCCCAAUCCAAAACGAUGUUUCCUUGGAUUAUUAAAGGUUCACGUUAAAGUAUGUUUAUGUUUUCACCUUAAACUGGUGAAAAAUCUGAAAAUACAACAUAUUAACUCUAAACCC